RNA transcript from Oncorhynchus keta (chum salmon), 9789 nucleotides. RefSeq lists it as uncharacterized. Lineage: Eukaryota; Metazoa; Chordata; Actinopteri; Salmoniformes; Salmonidae. The transcript has 3 exons. The record is from RefSeq and is a predicted model, not a curated record.
AUUGAUUGUGCACGGCUACGUAAUCAAAGAGAGUAGCAUCAAGUAGAUUAGCAUGUAGACCUAAAAUCGCACUCUGUGACGAAGGUUUGACCCCAGCCUUUGCCAAUGUAGCUGACAUGUCAUCCGAAAUGUCACUCGAGCGUUAAACAGACAACUGUCGUCGAGUGAAGCCGUGAAGAGCAACAACUCCAUGUGCUGAUUACGGACGUCGGAAUAUACAACAGAGGGUGCACUGGGGAUUUCGAGGGCGACUAGACUGACCCCCUCUCACUCUCCCUCCCUCAUUCCAGUCUCUCCCUCGCGCAGAGUUUUCCGUCCUGUGACAGGAUAACAUCGCUAACAAAGAGCAUUUUCUGGCAGUAAGAAACUGCACAAAUGGAAGCAGUUGAGAAAACUCUCACUUACCGAGACGACACCGGACCUUAUAGAAAGCUGCUCCAUGGAAAUGAAGACAAAAACCAGUGCAACACUAAGGCAAAAAGUGACGAAUCCAAUUAUGUUGAUUUGGAUGAUUUACUUGAUAUCAAUUCAGAGUGCACAAAAACUGUUAAAGUGACUUUCACCGGUGACGGUAACCAGCUUGCCGUUUUCAAAUGCAACAGUGAUACGUCCGGAGAGAGGAGCCCCGGGGUUCGCGAGAUUGAUGACAAUGUGGAUCAAAUCUAUGAGGAAACAUCGAAGGACAGGUGGGCAGAUAGGCCUGUCUCGGAAGAUCCCCCCAUGGACACUUAUUUGACAGAAUUUAACAGCAAUGUGGACUUGGGGAAUAACAAUACGAGAGAACCCCAGAGCGAAAUUGUGCCUCGUGAUUAUAAUGUCCCUAGCGAGUGUGAGGAGUUACAAUACACAGACAUGUAUUUGAACAGUAAAACCGAAUCGGACGACGGUGAGAGCGUAGUAUUGUCAGACCAUUGUGCGCCUGAUACGGUGAUAGACGAAUCGCACUACAUUACAACGCACGAAAUUCAACUGACAGAGCAUGACCAUGAUGUCGAUUGUGAUUUUGGACGGGGAAACUGUUGGGAUAUUGAGGACGAUAAUCUGGUUUAUUCAUUUGUGGAUUAUGCCUCUUUUGAAAGCGAUGAAACAACGGAGGAAACUUUGAUAGGCCUAGUGGAUGGUAGGAGCCAGGCGAAAGUAAAAAGCAGCCAGGCGCAAUGUAAUGUGCACCAACGUGUUUCUGGUUGUGCAGUUGUCAGCACUGAGAGUGAGUUUUGUGACUCUGACAAAUGCCCCAGCUCAGAUGAAAGCAUUUGUAAAAAACAAAACAGUAGUGGGAAUUCGGCGGGGCAAAUUCACCUGUCAAUCAAGACGUCAUCAAGAGCAAUAAACGACUCUAACAAUAUAAUUGAGAAUGAAAACAUUUGUUAUAAUACCAAGCACACGGGAAACAGGAGUCACUUCUUUUUUACAAGCACUGACGCCAGAGCGGAAGCCUUGUGCGAUAGAUCCCAAUAUUUUAUCCCAGCCCCGGGACGUCAACACUUUGCAACUAAAUUAAGAGGGAAAGAUGUUAACGAAUAUUCCAGCGGUGCGUCAAGUUCGAUUAGUGAACUGGACGACGCUGAUAAAGAAGUGCGUAAUUUAACCGCCAAAUCAUUUAGGAGUUUGGCAUGUCCCUAUUUCGAUGCUAUAAAUUUGAGCACUUCAAGUGAGUCUUCAAUGUCAGAAAAUGGGCUUGGCUUAAACAAGUGGUCAGCUUUCGUUGACCUUAAAUAUGGCAAUAUGUCACAUGGCAGAGAGCAAAAUCUAAUCGCCCAUAAGAGUGCAACUGCAACUUUUGAAAUGAGCAAGAACGCAGACUAUAAGAGUAUACAUGGUAUUGCCAUAAGCAAUAAGAAAGUACCCCAAACCAAUAUGUUUUCUUUGAAUACAAAAAUAUCUAGUCCACAACAUGCAUCUUCCUCUACCCAAAAUGUAGAGCUUACAGGCCCAUUUGAACCAGGCAGUGAGGUUAUCACUUUGACAAAGACAUUGAAUUUUUGCUGUAAUGUUGAAGCGGGGUCACCUGAACCCGGGAAGUCUCCUAAGUAUUCAGAAAAUGUGUCAGGAGCACGUUCCAUGGAUGAAGUUACCGGCACCUUGCCAGCUAAGCCAGGAUAUGAAGUGAGCUCCCAACACAGUGACGCGGGUGAUAGCAUGGAAGGCACACAUAAGAAUGCAAGUUUCGCAUCAAGUCUCUUAAAAAAUGUAAUUUCCAAAAAAAUGCAAUUUGAACAGGAGCGUAAGAUGGAGAGGGGGGAGAUACGGGACACGCAUCCCACGCACUCCCCAUGCUUUCAAUGCAAGGAUCAAGAUGGGAUAAGGGAGAGGGAUACAGAGAGAGGCGUGCAUAGUCAAUCCUCAAAAUCGGGUUCGGGAUGCACAAGCAAUUAUUCGGAUGAACAAGGGGCUGUGGACAGUAGACCUAAUUCUUGUGACCCCAAGGAAGAGCGUACAAGAACAUUAGCAAGCUUUCAGCCCAUAAAUGAGGCACGACUAGAUUCUCAAAGGGAUGCAUGCGAGCCCACAAGAGGAUCCCUGAGCCAUAGCCAAAACAGCGCAUUCAAAUCAUGGAGGGAUGGUGAGCCAGAGCCCCAAGAUGAACAUGACAUUUGUACCGUUUUAGAUGGGACACACUCCACAACAGAUAACACGGGGGAAAGGGAGUUAGACACCAGGUCUGUAAGUAGCAAGCUAACUAAAUUGUCACACUUGUUUGUUCCAAGUUCCCAGCGUCUUCCUAAAGAUACGGAAUUGAAAGAACAGGUGCCAGACAGUACUUUCCUCGGUGCGCAAAAAGAGCAACAGGGGGACCGAGAGAGAAAGUUUAGACCUGACAACAAUGCAGGAAUCGUGAAAGGGUCAAAGGCACCCGAGAUAAAAAUACGCCUGAGGAGCGUAAAAGAAAACAAAUGCAAUCCGCUAAAUAUUGACAACUUGUUAACCCCUAAUAUAAAUUAUCCAAUAAAGUCAGCAGGUGACUCCAAAUGUCAGGUGCUGCCUGCGUCAGACAGAGUGCCACACUUUACGGUUAGGGAUAUAAGAGACAAUAAGUGCAAGUUUCAGACGCCAAUUCAUCAGGUAAGAGACGUACGUAAAUUGGUCAAGAGUUCAUAUCGUUUAGUCUCAGUGGAUAACAGCGAGAGUAAAGGCGCAGUCGCCCCUGUAACUGCCUCAUUACGCGAAGAUAAUAAAGCUUCUAAGAAACUACCCGGUACAAAAUCGCCUCCCUCUUCAAUUGUAAUAAAAUGUCAGUCUGUAAAUACAAAUAGCAGUACUAAACAAGGUGUGCUUGUAACCGAGGCUCCAAAGCAGAGACAAAUUGAGAACGAUAGGUCAUCCCCCAAACCAUCUCCAGACUGUGCCAAAAAUGAACCCACGUCGCUGCACAGGGCGACGGGCAGACCUCCAAUUGGCUUCGCUAAACACCCCAACACAGAUCAGUCCGAGGCUAAACAGAAGCAGGAAAAAAUGGUCGAGGCAGUUGAACGCAAACCGGAGUCGAAAAUACCAAAACAGGUGGCGUUAGAGAAACUAAAGGCGGCCGUUAAAACAAUGGAACAGCUUUAUGUUUUUGACAGAAAUGAAUGGAAGCGCAAGAGCCAGGCUCCCUGGCCUAUUACAGACAGUCAUGUUCUGUCACUCAUUGCUAAAGAGGAGCACGGUGGCCCGGAGGAGCUAGGUUCAGCAGGUGACAGAGAGAGGCUUAUUACAGAGACAAACACAGACAGGCUGCCAGAAACAUGCAACAUUCAAGAAGAGAAAGGUUGUCUAAGAAUAAUCCAUGUCCCAUUCACAAAGAACACAUUUAAAACCCAGUCACAACAAAGUAAAAUGUUUAGUAACAAAAGUGUGUUUCAUUUGGGGAACAGCAUUAAGACAGCUGUCAGUAGCAGCAGCUUUGCUAGUAGGAAUGGGCCACAACCCUGUUCUCCAUCACAUGCAACCUCUAUGGUGAAAAGCAUUAGCACUAAGACCCCGAAAGCUCCUCUCUCAUUGAAAAUAUGCCCCCCAAAACGAGUGCUGGUGGACAGGGGAAGGUUCAAAAGCAGCCCCACCACAGAGACAACACCACAGCCCAUCAAAUCUGGCAACCCAGACUCUGAAAACUACUUAACAAUACCUGUAGAAGGCCGGUGUGUCGGUCAAGUGAAACUGCCCAUUCAAGAGCAGGUAUUCCCAAGCAGCCCUGCUGCCAGUCAACCUGACAUCACCGACACCAAGAGAUCCGAGCAUAAUUCUAUCCAGUCUCUCAAACGGUCCCCUGUUGUCAUGGAGACGCGGCCCCCAGAUACCCCCACCAUCCCCACUACCGCCACCAUCUACCACCACUCUCUACCAGUGGUCAAGCAAGGAGCCCCCCAGCCGCAGGUGUUCUGCUUCUCCCCGUCCAUUGCCCCCUUGCCCACAACCCCUUCGGGGGGAGACCCCUUCCAGCCUACCCAGAGGAAGAUGCUCUUUGAUCCCACCACCGGACAGUACUACCUGGUGGACACUCCGAGUGAGCCAGUCACCCGGCGUCUCUUCGACCCUGAGACGCGCCAGUAUGUGGACGUGCCCAUGCCUAUGCCACAGCUGCAGCCAGUGACCCCCAUGUCCGUGUCCCCCCUGGCGCUGAACACGGGAGGGGUGUACUCACCCAACUACAUGAUCUACCCGGGGUUCCUCUCACCCAUGCUUCCUACACAGACGGUGAUGACACCCCAGGUCGCAUCCUACGUGGCAUCCCAAUUGGAGGACGAGAGCGGGAAUACCGCUCACAGGAAAUACACCCUGGUGCGUGGGGGGGGACAGGAGGGUAACAUGACGGGGGCAGAGAGCCCCUACUACAGUGCUACUGGAGGGUCAGUGCCAGCAUCAGUGCCCGUCACCUUGGGCCACCACGUCACCACCCGGGGGAGUGCGGCCUUGUCAGAAGGGAAACCACCGGUCAUCAGCAUCACGUCCCAGCAACGCCCGAGAAUCAUUGCACCACCCUCCUUCGAUGGUACGACCAUGAGCUUUGUGGUGGAGCAUCGGUAACCACCAAGGGAAUAUACACAACCCUUUAAAAUCCACUUUUUGACAGCAUAUACAGCAGGAGUGCUUCUUGAGGAGCCUGUCCUGUGAUAAGUAGAUGUUUCAUGGUAAUCUUCUCACACCCUUCUUCGCACCCAGUCCACCAAAUUCCACCUGAACCCACCAUGUUUCCAAGCCCAACCACCGGCCACCAUCACCGCCCCAUCCAACCGGUGGUCUUUGCAGCACGUCUGUAUCUGUAAAGCUAUGCUUCAUGCCUAAUACUUGUUUGUAGGGUAGCUAAUUGCUUUGUAUAACUGCUUUCAGGUCUGUAUUUAGAUUACAGACCAUCCCUUGUGUUCAAAAGCAUUUGGAUUCAGGCACUGCAAUAUUGUGAUUCAACAGGAAUUAAUGUUUUCCAAUUAAGAUUCUAUAAAAGUUACACCCGAUGCGUGCGUGUGCGAGUGUGAUUAUCCCAACAAAAAUAUUGAAUCAGUAGACGUACAAAAGACCCUAUUACACCAUACAUUGGAAAACAUUUGCAUUUGCAGGGGAGUUCAUUCUAAUUCAAUGCAUCAUAUAAAUUGAAAAUCCAAUCCAGGAAUUAUUUUUGAGGAGAGAUUUUUUUUUAUUCUCUAAACUGAGGCGUUUCCUUUUUUCUUGGCUCUUUGGUGACCUGGAGAAGUAGUAACAAGAUCACACUUCUAGCUGCACCCUUUGUUUCCGUCUUUUGCAGCUAAUAGCCACACAGUUAUUGGAUUGUAUGAUUUGAUGUGCUUUUAUAUGACAUUCGUAUGGCACUCUCCUUGUAUGCAAAUACUAUGAUGAUAGACUUAAGAGAAACACACUAAGUGUGUUGCCGAGAAAAGCUGGAGCCCUGGGACCUGCCACAUAUUUAGUGGUUGUUUAGAGUCAGAGGUUGGCUAUAUAGUAUAUUUGGGGCAAAUGUUUCCCAAGUAGCUUUACUGUAGGCUUAGGGUGGGACCUUAUAGAUAAAGUUGAGACAUUUUAUGGGAUAACCUCCUCUAUAGGUUUUGGCUAACUUUACACUCACGUGUAAAAGGAGAAUGACAUGGGUUAGGGUUAGUGUGUGUAUGUACUGUAUGUGUUUAGUAAUUGUGAGGUAUUAUGCAUUAUGUGCACAGACAACAGGCUAGCGUGUUACAGAAUAACUCAGAUAAAUUAGAAAUGCAUCAGUCGAUCAUUCAUUCAUACAUAAGCAUUUUGUAUUUAAGAUUUCACAAUGUUUUGGGAGGUUACCUACUUGUAAACAGGAACAGGAACGGGAAAGGAAUUGUCUUUCCCUUUGAUCCUUUUCUUAAAUGGCAAUUGUUUAAAAAAAUAGUGGAUACUGCUAAUUCAUGCCCAUUCUGAAUACCAAUUGUAAAAAAUGCUUAUAUUCAUAUUCAAUCAGGACCAGGGUUGGGGUGAAUUCAAAUUUGAAUUCAGUCAUUUCAAGUCAUGAUUUGAAAUCAAAUGAAUUCAUUGAAAAUUGCUCAUUAUUAAAACAAAUUGGUAUGUGGACUUUCACAUUUAUUAAUACAAUUUCAGCUCACACUCAGGGAUGAAUGAGCUAAAAUGAAAUUGACUCCAAAUUUAAAAAAUAUACUAAUCUCUUUCUUUCCUUUUGAACAAUUUUGCAGUGCAACAAUAGACACUCACGCUUAGAGCAAUGGUGCUUUCUUCAGUUUUAUUUUAUUUUUUAAGUUCCAUGUUUGAAUAUGCAUAUUGUAGGUUGCUGUUUUUCUUGUUUUACACAUUCGAAAAUGCAUUAAAGGUAUUUUCAGCUGCUGGUCAGUCUUUGAAACUGAAAAAAUAGAUUUGAGUUUUCUGUCUGUGACAACGUACUGUAUAAAAAAGUAUCCUGUGAGUUGAUUCCACUGUGGAAGAAAGUUUAGUCACAGUACAACCCACUGGGCCAUGGAUCUAUAACAUUUAAAAAAUGUUCACCUGUUACAAAAGGGUGGAUUAAAUUCACUAACGGUAUUUCACCUUUAUCAUGCAAACAUUUGGAUUCAAACGUCAAACAUGAUAACUUUCAAAAUGUCAAACCAGAGAAGACAAUUUAUUUGUAUUUUUAUUUGACAUGUCAUUUCUUGUGUUGUUGGUUUUUAUGAAAUGGUUCAUAUACUGUGGUAUGUAAACUGAAUUUCCUUCUUAAGGGUGUGUAAUUGCUGUUGGGCACAUUAGUGCACUUGGCAGGCUAGAUAAAUGAUUUUAUUCACCAACCAAAAGCAGUGCAUACUGUAACAGUUGAAAAUUGGUUGAUGAUGUUUCUUGUCCUUCAAAAGGAAAUUUGUUACGCAUUAAUCCUGAUGAAUUACUGAAUAGUAGAAUGAAGUCUAAUUGAAUCCUGACACAAAGUAGCACAUUCUACUGAACAGUACAGUACAUUCACACAACUUUCAGUGUCUUCAGAAAGUAUGGACUUUUCCAAAAUGUUUGUUGUGUUACAGCCUGCAUUUAAAAUGGAUUCAUUUGAGGUUUUGUGUCACACACAAUAGCCCAUAAUGUCAAAGUGGAAAUAUGUUUUUAGUAAUGUUAUUUAUUUUAUUUUAUUAUUGUCAAUUACAUGGCUCACUCUGUGUGCAAUAAUAGUGUUUAACAUGAUUUUUGAAUGACUACAUCCUCUCUAUACCCCACACAUACAAUUAUCUGUAAGGUCCCUCAGUCGAGAAAGUGAAUUUCAAACACAGAUUCAACAACAAAGACCAGGGAGGUUUUUCAAUGCCUCUCAAAGAAGGGCACCUAUUGGUAGAUGGGUAAAAAAAAGCAGACAUUGAAUAUCCCUUUGAGCGUGGUGAAGUUAUUAAUUACACUUUGGAUGGUGUAUCAAUACACUAAGUCACUACAAAGAUACAGGCGUCCUUCCUUCGUAACUAUGUUGCGUUUAAGGAAGGAAACCGCUCAGGGAUUUCACCAAGAAGCCAAUGGUGACUUUAAAACAGUUACAGAGUUGAAUGGCUGUGAUAGGAGAAAACUGAGGACAGAUAAACAACAUUGUAGUUACUCCAUAAUACUAACCUAAUUGACAAGAGUGAAAAGAAGAAAGCCAGUACAAAAUACAACUUUUCCAACAAGGCACUAAAGUAAUACUGCAAAAAAUGUGGCAAACCAAUGCCCUUUUUGUCCUGAAUACAAAGUGUUAUGUUUGGGGCAAAUCCAAUACAACACAUUACUAAGUACCACUUUCCAUAUUUGCAAGCAUAGUGGUGGCUGCAUCAUGUUAUGGGUAUGCUUGUAAUUGUUAAGGACUGGGGAGUUUUUUAGGAUAAAAAAGAAACAGAGCUUUGCUAAGCACAGGCAAAAUCCUAGAGGUUCGAUCUGCUUUCCACCAGACACUGGCAGAUGAAUUCACCUUUCAGCAGGACAAUAACCUAAAACAUAAAGCCAUAUUUACACUGGAGUUGCUUACCAAGAAGACAGUGAAUGUUCCUGAGUGGCCGAGUUACGCUUUGACUUAAAUCUACUUGAAAAUCUAUGGCAAAGACCUCAAAAUGGUUGUCUAGCAAUGCUUAACAACCAAUUUGACAGAGCUUGAAUAAUUUUUGUAAGAAUAAUGGGAAAAUGUUGCCCAAUCCAGAUGUGGAAAGCUCUUAGAGACUGACUCGGAAAGACUCACAGCUGUAAUCGCUGCCAAAAGGGUUUCCACAAAGUAUUUACUCAGGGGUGUGAAUACUUAUGUGAAUGAGACAUUUCUGUAUUUAAUUUUCAAUAAGUUAGCAAACAUUUCGAAAACAUGUUUUCACUUUGUCAUUAUGUGGUAUCGUGUGUAGAUGGGUGAGAAUUUUUUUAUUUAUUGAAUACAUUUUGAAUUCCGGCUGUUAAGGCACUGUAAAUAUGUGUAUUUCAUUUUGAAAUGUUAGAUGUUCUUGUCUAGCUGACUACAACAGAAAUAUGUGUAACAGUGUCAUUAACAUGUCAUUACCUUUAAGUCUGUUCAUUGUAUUUCCAUUUCUGAAAAAUGACAACCUGUCAGUAGCUCAACUUAGUGGAUGUUAGAAUUUCAGAACUUACUGAGUUAGAAUUUGUCACUAACAUGAACAGUCAUCAUUUGACAUUAUAUAUGUUAAGUGUAUGAUAUCAUUAUGUGGACUAAUAAAGCUUAGUCAAAGUGAUGACAUCAUUUAGUAAAGAGCUACCCAGUCACACUAGCAUAAAUUAUGAGUAAUUGAAUAAGCAAUCUCAGUUUACAACUUCACCUAAGCACAAUAUCCCUCCCCAAGCCCAUGAAUCUAACGGCUUUCGGGUUCCCUGAUGCCCAAUGAAAGAAACAUUCAGUGUAUAUGCUUGCUUUUUGAAAGACGUUGAAAGAUGGAUGGGGAAGUAAUGUUGAGAUGGGAGAAAUGUACGUGAACGAACAAGAGAGAAAGAAUGGAACAAUUAAGAUUGAUUGGCUACAUUAGCCUUGGAGUCUGCAAGACAGUCAUACAAAAGAGACAUUAUGUAUAUGUUGCGUACGUUUUGUGCUUUAUGGACUUUUAAGAUGGCGGCCUAAGAAGGAGCACGAGACCGGGAGGUCAAUGCAGAGUUUGUUUGUUAGAUGAAGCAGUGCCGUGUUUGCACUUGCAAGGUGACAGUGAUGAAAUAUGACAAGUCGACUGAGGUGAAAAAAAUGCACUGUAGGCCCAAAAGCCUACAAGUGUUUGGAAUAAAUCAAAUUGCAAGCUAAUUAACAUUGUCUGUUGCGUAUGUUGCUCAUCAUGGUUGUCUUGCUUGUGCCCAUUUUCUUUGCUAAGUUACUUCCAUAACAUAUUGACAGUGAUCAAAACAUUGGGAAUCACAGCUAUCUUUAAACACACAAAGUGG